RNAcentral lists this ribosomal RNA (323 nucleotides) under uncultured Pseudomonadota bacterium. RNAcentral describes it as "bacterial SSU rRNA". It matches the Rfam family "Bacterial small subunit ribosomal RNA", at positions 30 to 351 of the family's 1533-position model. The record is from RNAcentral. Lineage: Bacteria; Pseudomonadati; Pseudomonadota.
AUUGAACGCUGGCGGAAUGCUUUACACAUGCAAGUCGAACGGCAGCACGGGUGCUUGCACCUGGUGGCGAGUGGCGAACGGGUGAGUAAUGCGUCGGAACGUACCGAGUAAUGGGGGAUAACGCACCGAAAGGUGUGCUAAUACCGCAUACGCCCUGAGGGGGAAAGUGGGGGAUCGUAAGACCUCACGUUAUUCGAGCGGCCGACGUCUGAUUAGCUAGUUGGUGGGGUAAUGGCCUACCAAGGCGACGAUCAGUAGCUGGUCUGAGAGGAUGAUCAGCCACAUUGGGACUGAGACACGGCCCAAACUCCUACGGGUGGCAG